GACGAACGCUGGCGGCGUGCCUAAUACAUGCAAGUUGAGCGAUGAAGAUUGGUGCUUGCACCAAUUUGAAGAGCAGCGAACGGGUGAGUAACGCGUGGGGAAUCUGCCUUUGAGCGGGGGACAACAUUUGGAAACGAAUGCUAAUACCGCAUAACAACUUUAAACAUAAGUUUUAAGUUUGAAAGAUGCAAUUGCAUCACUCAAAGAUGAUCCCGCGUUGUAUUAGCUAGUUGGUGAGGUAAAGGCUCACCAAGGCGAUGAUACAUAGCCGACCUGAGAGGGUGAUCGGCCACAUUGGGACUGAGACACGGCCCAAACUCCUACGGGAGGCAGCAGGAGGGAAUCUUCGGCAAUGGACGAAAGUCUGACCGAGCAACGCCGCGUGAGGGAAGAAGGGUUUCGGAUCGUAAAACUCUGUUGGUAGAGAAGAACGUUGGUGAGAGUGGAAAGCUCAUCAAGUGACGGUAACUACACAGAAAGGGACGGCUAACUACGUG
Molecule: ribosomal RNA, 497 nt
Filed under: uncultured bacterium
Lineage: Bacteria
Description: partial 16S ribosomal RNA
Rfam family: Bacterial small subunit ribosomal RNA
Source: RNAcentral